Rattus norvegicus (Norway rat) is the source of this 2689-nucleotide long non-coding RNA. RefSeq lists it as uncharacterized. Lineage: Eukaryota; Metazoa; Chordata; Mammalia; Rodentia; Muridae. The record is from RefSeq and is a predicted model, not a curated record.
CGCACCUUCAGAUCAGAACCUUCAGUGCUAGUGCUGUUCUGCAGGCACACUCCUUCCUCCUCUUCCUCCUCCUCUUCCUCCUCCUCCUCCUUUCCUUCUCUCUCCUCCUCCUUCUCUCUCUCUCCUUCUUUCCUUCUCCUCCUCUCCCUUUUCCUCUCCUUUCUCUUCCCCCUCCUCUCCCUCCUUUUCCUCUUCCUCUCCCUUCUUUUCCUCCUCCUCCUUUCCUUCUCUCUCCUUCUUUUCCUUCUCCUCCUCUCCCUUUUCCUCUCCUUCCUCUUCCCCCUCCUCUCCCUCCUUUUCCUCCUCCUCUCCCUUCUUUUCCUCCUCCUCUCCCUUCUCCUUCUCCUCCUUCUUCUUCCUCCUUUUGUCUUCCCCUCCCCAUUCUUCUGCUGUGCAGCCAUUUUUAUUGCUCAUGGCUUUCUGUUGUUUGUUUCCUGGCUAAGUUCACUAUGUAGCAGAGGCUGGUCUUGAACUUCCUGGUCCUCCUGACUCCAUUGCUGAGUGCUGAGGUUAGAGUCCCCAACAGGGGCAGCCAGCUGGGGUUAUGGUACACAGCCUCCUGCCCAGGACUGGUGAAGCCAGGAAGGCUGCAGGAGGUGUAGAGCUACUGAACAUCUUAACCAGGGAAGCAGAGCCAGGUGUUUGGUCACGGAAGAGACAUCAAUGAGACAUGCAUGGAACCCUAUUGGGCUUGCACAGCAGACCGAGCUACCCAGAAGCUUUAUGAAGAGAGCUGAAGUAGGUGAGAAGAGAAACCAAUGAGAGGCAGAGUUGCAAAGAUGAAGACAUACAGACAAUCCAGGGAGGAGUUCAAGGAGCCAUUAAAGGAACCUACGGGGUUUCCUCCAUUUCCUUCCGCCCCCAAUAAGAUGCUGUGGCCCAGAUGGAUGAAGGAGGGUCCCAGCUUCUACAAGCACAUGAGCACAGGACCUAUCAGGAGCAGCUGGGCCAGACUUCCGACACGCCCUGUUAACAUCGAGCAUUUAUCACACUUCCGACUGCCAGAUUUUGUGCUAAGCCCUGAGGCGUUUUACAUUUUCUCUACAUUCCUUCCUGCUAGGCACCUUCUCGAUUCAUGUUUCACAAAUUAGAACAGGGGUCCAUAAACUGCUCCCUACAGGCCAAAUCCCACUGACACUUGUCUGUGUAAAUAUUGGGGGAGCUCGGCAAUGUGUGUCUACACGGUGUCUCUGGCUGCCUCCAGGGGCAGCAGCUGAGUGAGUGGUCACUGGGUUGGAGAUGCUCCGACCCUGAUUUUGAGCAGAUGGGCAGGCUGAGUCAUGUGGAACCAGCAAGCUGGGUGUGCCCUUGAUCCGGCCUGCCUUCGGGCUUGCUUUUUAUUAUGCUGAAGGGGACUUUGAGGUGGUUCUUCUCUGCUGUCCCUUCAGCACAGAGCGGGACCACUUAGGGAAGCUGCAGUGUGAGGUCUCUAGAAGCUCCCAGCAUGGUUUGAGGGCCAGUGAGAGAGGAUGUAACUUUGUUCCCAGGAACGUGACUGGUGGCCCUAGGGGACAGCUAAUUACAGACUUGGGUUUGUGUGUGCUCAACUUCUGUCCUCUGACUAUGAAAGAAAAAAAAAAGAAAGAAAGAAAAGAACAAAAAAGGAAAAAAAGAGAAAAAAAAAGGAGAUGGGUCUCUUGCUUCUCCAGCUUAAACUCUUGGGACCUCUCAUGGAGCAAACCCAGACAGAGAAAGAAAGAAAAGAAAGGGAUUGGGGGAGAGGGAGGGUAGACAAGGACUCUGCCUGAUGUCUGGGUGCUACGGAGUCUGUCUGUCAGAAACCUGUCCCCAGUGGUCUCCAGCUGGCCUACAAGUCUGCAGAGUUAACUUCCUGUGCUCUGGUAGCGGCAUUCGGCUUCUGUUCUUUCCUAGUGGGCAUUUUCCAGUAUGGACCAAGAUCCCAUUCUCUCUCAGAGAGGCUCUUUAAAAAUCUAUUUUUUUUAAGCUGAAGGUGGUGGCACACAACUUAAAUGCCAGCACUCAGGAGGGAGAGGCAGACAAAUGUCUGAGUUUGAGACCAGCCUGGUCUGCAUAGCAAGCGCUGGGCCAGACAAAGCUACACAGUGAGACCCAGUCUCAAUUAAAAACAAAACAAAACAAAAACCAACACAAAUCCUAUCUUGUGGUUAGAAGCAGCAAAACUAAAUGCAGACAGACCAAAGUGCAGAGCAGACAGGGGGCAGUGCCUGGAGAAGAUGAGGCCAUACCCAUCCCAAGCUAUGGUCCUCAGAGAUGCUGACUGGACAAAAGGCUUUGGAAAUGUGCAGGAGGAUGAGUCAUCGCACCUCCCAACAACGCCUACCUUUCGGGCAGUUCUGCCUUCAAAAACCAUUUCCUCUAGUGGCCGUGGCUGAGAUCUAUCCUCAGGGCCCUAACGCCAUCUCUUAUCCUCCCGUGGCUUGGUCUGUCUGUCAUGUGGACCUUAGCGUAGUCAGGCAUCAACACAGAAUCUAGAAGACAAAAUUGUCAGUCUGGGUCCUCUCUGGAGAGGCUGUUAAACUCAGGCUCUUCCACCCCCCCCCCCCCGGGGAAACCAGAGCAGUGAGUGCCUGAGAGCAUCCCUCUCUGGUCCUGUCCUUCCUCUUCCGUUAGCCGGAAAGGUUCUGGUCUCCAGAGUUCCUGGCCCAUCCUAGGGAAGGGAAAGAGGUCACCUGAAAUGCCAGUUGCACUUCAGGAGUGUGACCGAGUG